Gasterosteus aculeatus aculeatus (three-spined stickleback) is the source of this 1075-nucleotide long non-coding RNA. Lineage: Eukaryota; Metazoa; Chordata; Actinopteri; Perciformes; Gasterosteidae. The record is from Ensembl.
UAUGGACCUUCUCACAGCCGACAUGGAAUUGAAAGUGGUCGUCGCGUCAAGGCAUCUGAUCACUGCGUGUUCGCUCGUAGGAAUGGAUAUUCCAACAGCGGACUCAAGUUUGUCAGAAUUGCGACAUGAUCCAAACCUUUUGGGAUCGACAAGUGUUCAAGCUUGACUGAGGAAUUUGGGGCUCCUGCCACAGCCAGAGGACGAGGGGCUUUGUGCAUUUCGGAAGAAGGAAGUGGACUUUCACCGGCUCGGGGAGAAUUUUAACAAGAAAAGGACUUGCUGAAUGUUUCAUACACUUAAUUCUGCAGCCGUCACACCAUUCUGGACUGGAAGGCAAUCUUGCCAGACCAGUUCAGAGGGAGCAGAGAGAGCAGCUCUGUCCAAAUCAACGAUGUGGUUGUCGUUUAAUACAUUGUUAGUAGUACUUUUGAUAGUUUGUGUAAAAGAUCUUCUUUUAGUUAGUUUGUCCACAAGCGCAACACGACCGCACAUUGAGGAAACGGUAGAUUAAAUUUUCGUAAGAGCCUAUACACUGAAAAUUGUUGCUAAAUUAAAAUAAUCAGAAAAAGUCAGAAAAUCUUUAAAUAACGUUCCAUCCGUUAUAUUGCUUGAGAAAUAAAUAGAAAUGCACAAGGAUUUAAACAUCGUAACAAUGAAAAAACAAAAAGUUAUCAGCUUGGUCGGUUUUGUUUCAGCCUCUUAGCAAAUAUCGACUAUGGUUCUUGGAUGUUAUCCGAUAAAAUUGCUGGGGGGCAACAGUCAAUCAGCCCCCCUUGGCAUCAAAUUUGAGUCGAGAUUUGAACUGUUGUGAAUUAUAUGCAGCACAUGUUCAUCACACCUGAGACGUGAUCUGGAUCAUAAGGCUGGAAGGUAUUUCCUUCACAGUUUAGAAUCACAUUUGUUCAUGAAAAACAAAUUGUAUCUGUUUCCUUGUGGAUUCCCAUUCUUUGCUCACUGUCAUUUCCAAAAGACUUCAUCUUUUGUUGUUUUCUUGAAAUCAAUUUCUAUUUAAAACCGGUGUUUUAAACAAAACCCUGUGACCUUUUCACCUACACUGAGCAUGUGGGUGUUGACG